AUAAGGAUACGGAUAGGGUUAGGGGAUAAGGAUAGGGGAUAGGGCUAGGGGAUAAGGAUAGGGUUAGGGGAUAAGGAUAGGGCUAGGGGAUAUGGAUAGGGGGUAGGGCUAGUGGAUAUGGAUAGGGGAUAGGGCUAGGGGAUAUGGAUAGGGGAUAGGGCUAGGAGGUAGGGCUAGGGGGUAGGGCUAGGGAGAUCAGAGAGUAUGAUCGGAGAUCAGAGAGUAUGUCCCCAAAGGCACCUUAUUCCCCAUAUAGGGCACUACUUUUGAUUAGUGGUGCACUAUAUAGGGAAUAGGGUUCUGGUCUAAAGUAGUGCACUAUAUAGGGAAUGGGGUUCUAUAGGGCUCUGGUCUAAAGUAGUGCACUAUAUAGGGAAUAGGGUGCCAUUUGGAAGGCAGACAGACAGGAAAGACAAAAGGCCUAUUGUAUGUGAUCUUACCUGUUAUUUUAUUCAUGUUUAUUCUUCAAACAUUCCCACUGCCAACUCAUCUCGUAUGAUAAUAUCAUUGUUAUUACAAAUGCUUGUUAUUAUUGUGUUUUUGUUAUUGUUGUUUUGUUAUUGUUUACCCUCGUGUUGUAUGAUUUUCCUUGUCUUUACGGUUUUAAUCUUGAACACGCUGAACAAUGAAGUCAUUUUCAUUCAGUUUUGGAUCAGCUGUGAAUUUGUCCUGACUGUGCGAUCUGGUCGGUUUGGUUGAACAUGUGUGUGUGUGUGUGUGUACCAACUGUGUGUGUGUCUGGUUUGACUGUGAAGUAAUGCUGUAGUUAGUACUGACUUAGUCAUAGCUUAAUUAGUUAGUUAGUUAGUUAGUUAGUGUGACACCUUGCGAUGUUAUUUCUCUUUGAUGUCAGUCCCGCUCUCUCUCCUUUCUCUUCUUCUAUCUAUCACACGCCUCCGUCAUCUGUCCGUCUGCGUCAUGUGUAUCUCAGGGGGGCGAGGAGGAUCUGUCGUAACACCAAAAAUACAAUUAUAAAAGCACAAAUAAAGAUUAGGCACAAAAUCACAGAAAAACCCUUCCUAUCACUGCUGCACUAGACAACACAGCCAAUGGGGUUCCACAGAAAAACCCUUCCUAUCACUGCUGCACUAGACAACACAGCCAAUGGGGUUCCACUGAAAGGACCUCACUGUUGGAACAGUAGAAUUGAAAUGAGAACACCUUGUUCUAGUUGUUAGAGGAUCACAACGUUAUAUAGCUACCAAGUCCCUGUACUGUUGGGACUUGGUAUAAGGUAUACCACCUUGCUACAUCGUCUAAAGAACAUGUCCCUGUGGUGUAUACCACCUUGCUACAUCGUCUAAAGAACAUGUCCCUGUGGUGUAUACCACCUUGCUACAUCGUCUAAAGAACAUGUCCCUGUGGUGUAUACCACCUUGCUACAUCGUCUAAAGAACAUGUCCCUGUGGUGUAUACCACCUUGCUACAUCGUCUAAAGAACAUGACCCUGUGGUGUAUACCACCUUGCUACAUCGUCUAAAGAACAUGUUGAAUCCGAGAAUUUAAUUUAUAUAAAUAUUAUGACAUAUAUGGUGAUAGAUUUUAGCUAUCCGAGAAAACGUCUGUAAAUGAACACAACAACAACAACAACAACAACAGAAUAUUUGACAACCGCUCAGUCAAAACAUAGGAAACACAAAUACACAGCAGUUAAGACACCUGGACACCUGCUUCUGGUCAAAACUAGUGCACUACAUAGGGAUUAGGGUGCCAGACUGGUCAAAACUAGUGCACUACAUAGGGAUUAGGGUGCCAGACUUGUCAAAACUAGUGCACUACAUAGGGAUUAGGGUGCCAGACUGGUCAAAACUAGUAGUCAUCUCUAUAGGGACCUGUGAGAUCUCUAGUGAUCUCUGUUCUCUUUAUUCCUCCAAGAGGAACUGUUGUUGUGCAUUUAAGAUGCCACUCUAGCCUGAUCCCAGAUCUGUUUCUGAUCUCUGGACAACUCCAGUGAUGUCAUUGUUAUGACAAUUCCAUAGGAGUUGUCAAGAGAACAGAAACAGGCACCCAGGCUAAACACACCUUCCACUCUCUCCUUCUCCUUGACUAACUUGUGUGGUGAAUUAUGAUAUGUAUGAAAUUACAAUUGUCUGCACACAUGACAUGUAAAUUACUAUGAAAAGAAAGCGUCUGCUAAAUGUCAUAUAUUAUUGUCUUAGUCAUUGUUUACAAUGAGAUGUUGUAUUUCCAGUUUCCUUCACCAUUUACUGUUCUAAUAAAGUCACAUGACCGUCUUCACCUGGUAUGUCUGUUCUAAUAAAGUCACAUGACCGUCUUCACCUGGUAUGUCUGUUCUAAUAAAGUCACAUGACCGUCUUCACCUGGUAUGUCUGUUCUAAUAAAGUC
This is a long non-coding RNA of Oncorhynchus tshawytscha (Chinook salmon), 2346 nucleotides long. Lineage: Eukaryota; Metazoa; Chordata; Actinopteri; Salmoniformes; Salmonidae. The record is from Ensembl.